AUGUGGAUAUCUCACAGCUCACCUAAAUUGCAUUUCUCAAUUGUUCCUCAUUUAUUAUUUCCACUUCCAAUCUUCCACUCCAAUCUUGCCCAACUUUCGGUUUUGCAAUUGAACGUUUCACUCUCCUUAUUCUAUAUUCAAAAACUUUUUCAUCACCCAUUAAUCUUCUAUAGCAGUUUCAAAUGUGGUUCCUCCUUUCUCUCUUCCUUCGUUCUUCCUCUUCCUCACAGGACUCCAACUCUCUCUCCUUUUCUCUUUCUACUUCAUCUCUCUGCAUUCAUAUCUUUCUCUCGCUCAAAUUUCUUUUGUAUCUCCUCUCUGAACUUAAUUGCCUUUCCACCAAAACCGUGA
This is a non-coding RNA of Vicia faba (fava bean), 351 nucleotides long. The record is from the annotation of a GenBank genome assembly. Lineage: Eukaryota; Viridiplantae; Streptophyta; Magnoliopsida; Fabales; Fabaceae.